Molecule: long non-coding RNA, 583 nt
Organism: Coregonus clupeaformis (lake whitefish)
Lineage: Eukaryota; Metazoa; Chordata; Actinopteri; Salmoniformes; Salmonidae
Exons: 3
Source: RefSeq, a predicted model, not a curated record
GAGAUGGCGGUGCAAGGGGAGGGGUUCGGGGCAGAACUGGAUUGAAAUAGUAUUUGUUUUCCUAUAAAAAACGUCUGGUUGGUGGUGGUGGUUGGGUUGAGCCGAUGGGAUCACCUGAGACAGAGAAUUGUCUAUCUAUCUGACUCUGAGAAGAGAAAACACAGGGUGGUAAUGACAGUCCUGAUAGACAUCAGCAGGAGUCGUGUCACAGCUGGGAAGCGGGUAAAGAGGACAGCAAAAGAGAGACACAGAGACACGAUUGUGUGUGUUGGAGCAGUAGCGGUGAGACCAUGACAGCAGCAGCUGGAACAUGAGAUCCUCUCACCUCCCCUGUGGACAAACAGGCAGCAGGGAUGAAAGACAAGCCUCUGUGUGGAACAAGACAGGGACUCUCCCUCGUACUACUUUUCCUUGUGUUGCUCUGUCUCUGGAUUCAGGUGAUGUUUAUAUAAUGUCAGAACAGGUCUCCCGAGACAGAAAAUACAAAGUGAAACAGGAUGUGAAUCCUUUCUGGUAAUAAAAAAAGGUGAAUGAUGAGAAUGUUGACAGUUGGCUUUUCCUUGGUUUACUGCAUAUGUCCUUU